RNAcentral lists this transfer-messenger RNA (398 nucleotides) under Bacteroidaceae. RNAcentral's name for it is "JAAYUD01 sp012517855 Standard tmRNA". It matches the Rfam family "transfer-messenger RNA". Rfam says of the family: Bacterial tmRNA, also known as 10Sa RNA or SsrA, is named for its dual tRNA and mRNA-like properties. Its role is to liberate the mRNA from a stalled ribosome. Lineage: Bacteria; Pseudomonadati; Bacteroidota; Bacteroidia; Bacteroidales. RNAcentral also lists the same sequence under 1 other name. The record is from RNAcentral.
GGGCUUGACCGGUUUUGACAGCGGGCAGAAGAGGUAUGUAAGCAUGCAGUGCGUCGGUGAUUUGCACUUUAAUCUCAGUUAUCAAGAAUUUAUCUGGCAACAAUAAUUACGCUCUCGCAGCCUAGUUGAAGUAUAGUAGACUGGUUUAAUUUCGGCAUUAGAUGCCGGAACGGGAUGUCACUCAAAAGCUCUUGUUCCGAAGCGUUUGACACAGUGGCACAGCAAAAUCGGGAAUAGUUUUAGCCUUUUCUCGGGGCCUUAACGAAACUAAAGAGGAUAAGGUGUGGGUUGGUGGCUCUGGUCUUGCCCAUGCUCGAAAAUCGAAGGCAGAGAUAAGCAUGUAGAAAGCUUAUUGCUUCCUCGUUUGGACGAGGGUUCGAAUCCCUCCAGGUCCACCC